This 253-nucleotide ribosomal RNA is filed under the name uncultured bacterium. Its description in RNAcentral is "partial 16S ribosomal RNA". It matches the Rfam family "Bacterial small subunit ribosomal RNA", at positions 524 to 776 of the family's 1533-position model. The record is from RNAcentral.
GACGGAGGGUGCUAGCGUUGUUCGGAUUUACUGGGCGUAAAGGGCGCGUAGGCGGCCGGAUCAGUCGGGUGUGAAAGCCCGGGGCUCAACCCCGGAACGGCACCCGAGACGGUUCGGCUGGAGACCGGGAGAGGAGGGUGUAAUAGCCAGUGUAGAGGUGAAAUUCGUAGAUAUUGGCUGGAACACCGGUGGCGAAAGCGGCUCUCUGGCCCGGUUCUGACGCUGAGGCGCGAAAGCGUGGGGAGCAAACAGG